This is a non-coding RNA of Mycena vulgaris, 90 nucleotides long. NCBI's taxonomy places the organism in Eukaryota, Fungi, Basidiomycota, Agaricomycetes, Agaricales, Mycenaceae. The record is from the annotation of a GenBank genome assembly.
UCAGGUAUGGAGUAGUGGGAACACGGCCUCUUGUAUUAUUGUGUAUGUCUGCGUCAGAGGCGGUCCAGGGUUCGGAUCCCUGUGUCUGAA